This 806-nucleotide ribosomal RNA is filed under the name uncultured bacterium. RNAcentral describes it as "bacterial SSU rRNA". It matches the Rfam family "Bacterial small subunit ribosomal RNA", at positions 95 to 873 of the family's 1533-position model. The record is from RNAcentral.
GCGGCGUAGGGGAGAGUAACGCGUAGAUAUCUGCCUCGAGGCCCGGGAUAGCGGCGGGAAACUGCCGGUAAUACCGGAUAACAUCUCCGGAUCAAAGGUGUGAUUCCGCCUCGAGAUGAGUCUGCGUCCUAUUAAUGCUUGUUGGUGUGGUAACGGCGCACCAAGGCGAAGAUGGGUACCGGGUGUGAGAGCAUGGCCCGGCUCACUGGGACUGAGACACUGCCCAGACACCUACGGGUGGCUGCAGUCGAGAAUCUUCGGCAAUGGGCGAAAGCCUGACCGAGCGACGCCGCGUGCGGGAUGAAGGCCCUCGGGUUGUAAACCGCUGUCAGUAGGGAGCAAAUCUCUUGGGGUUAUCCCCUUGAGUUGAGCGAUCUUCAGAGGAAGUACGGGCUAAGUUCGUGCCAGCAGCCGCGGUAAGACGAACCGUACGAACGUUAUUCGGAAUCACUGGGCUUAAAGAGUCCGUAGGCGGCCGUGUAGGUGGGAUGUGAAAGCCCUCGUCUCAACCGAGGAAUUGCGUUCCAAACCACAUGGCUUGAGGAGGAUAGAGGUGAGCGGAACUGAUGGUGGAGCGGUGAAAUGCGUUGAUAUCAUCAGGAACACCAGAGGCGAAGGCGGCUCACUGGGUCCUUUCUGACGCUGAGGGACGAAAGCUAGGGGAGCAAACGGGAUUAGAUACCCCCGGGUAGUCCUAGCUGUAAACGAUGAGCACUAGAUCGAGGGGGACUUCCACAUCCUUCUUCGGUCGUAGCGAAAGUGUUAAGUUGCUCCCGCCCUCGGGGAAGUAUAGUCGCCAAGCGUGA